GAUAGAAUGGCUGAGUUUUUCAAGCGAUAAAUUGUAAAUUUAUUCACGAGUUUAUACUCUUCUAUCAAU
Molecule: transfer RNA, 69 nt
Filed under: Erotylidae sp. BMNH 1274391
Lineage: Eukaryota; Metazoa; Arthropoda; Insecta; Coleoptera; Erotylidae
Description: tRNA-Tyr
Source: RNAcentral